AACGAACGCUGGCGGCAGGCCUAACACAUGCAAGUCGAGCGAGAUCUUCGGGUCUAGCGGCGGACGGGUGAGUAACGCGUGGGAAUAUGCCUCUUGGUACGGAAUAGCCUCGGGAAACUGGGAGUAAUACCGUAUGUGCCCUUUGGGGGAAAGAUUUAUCGCCAAGAGAUUAGCCCGCGUUGGAUUAGGUAGUUGGUGGGGUAAUGGCCUACCAAGCCGACGAUCCAUAGCUGGUUUGAGAGGAUGAUCAGCCACACUGGGACUGAGACACGGCCAAGACUCCUACGGGAGGCAGCAGUGGGGAAUCUUAGACAAUGGGGGCAACCCUGAUCUAGCCAUGCCGCGUGAGUGAUGAAGGCCUUAGGGUUGUAAAGCUCUUUCAGCUGGGAAGAUAAUGACGGUACCAGCAGAAGAAGCCCCGGCUAACUCCGUG
Molecule: ribosomal RNA, 433 nt
Filed under: uncultured bacterium
Lineage: Bacteria
Description: partial 16S ribosomal RNA
Rfam family: Bacterial small subunit ribosomal RNA
Source: RNAcentral